This 347-nucleotide unclassified non-coding RNA is filed under the name soil metagenome. Its description in RNAcentral is "partial contains 5.8S ribosomal RNA, internal transcribed spacer 2, and large subunit ribosomal RNA". The stretch from base 1 to 120 matches the Rfam family "5.8S ribosomal RNA", at positions 35 to 154 of the family's 154-position model. The record is from RNAcentral.
GAUGAAGAACGUAGCGAAAUGCGAUAAGUAAUGUGAAUUGCAGAAUUCAGUGAAUCAUCGAGUCUUUGAACGCACAUUGCGCCCCCUGGUAUUCCGGGGGGCAUGCCUGACCGAGCGUCAUUGCUGCCCUCAAGCACGGCUUGUGUGUUGGGCCGUCGUCCCCCUCCUAGGGGACGGGCCCGAAAGGCAGCGGCGGCACCGCGUCCGGUCCUCGAGCGUAUGGGGCUUCGUCACCCGCUCCGUAGGCCCGGCCGGCGCUUGCCGACGACCAUCAAUCUCUUUCUCCAGGUUGACCUCGGAUCAGGUAGGGAUACCCGCUGAACUUAAGCAUAUCAAUAAGCGGAGGA